This 234-nucleotide ribosomal RNA is filed under the name uncultured bacterium. RNAcentral describes it as "partial 16S ribosomal RNA". It matches the Rfam family "Bacterial small subunit ribosomal RNA", at positions 100 to 334 of the family's 1533-position model. The record is from RNAcentral.
CGGGACGGGUGGGUAAUGUCUGGGAACGUAGCUCGAUGGAGGGGGAUAACUACUGGAAACGGUAGCUAAUACCGCAUAACGUCGCAAGACCAAAGAGGGGGACCUUAGGGCCUCUUGCCAUCGGAUGUGCCCAGAUGGGAUUAGCUAGUAGGUGGGGUAAAGGCUCACCUAGGCGACGAUCCCUAGCUGGUCUGAGAGGAUGACCAGCCACACUGGAACUGAGACACGGUCCAG